AUACGUAGGGGGCGAGCGUUGUCCGGAAUGACUGGGAGUAAAGGGAGUGUAGGCGGCGGUGUAAGUCUGGAGUGAAAGUCCCGCAUUCAAUGUGGGAAUUGCUUUGGAUACUGCAGUGCUAGAGUGCGGAAGAGGUAAGUGGAAUUCCCAGUGUAGCGGUGAAAUGCGUAGAGAUUGGGAGGAACACCAGUGGCGAAGGCGACUUACUGGGCCGUAACUGACGCUGAGGCGCGAAAGCGGGGGGAGCAAACAGGAUUAUAUACCCUGGUAGUCCACGCGGUAAACGAUGAAUGCUAGGUUUUGCGGGUAUCGACCCCUCCAGUGCCAGAGUAAACACAAUAAGCAUUCCGCCUGGGGAGUUCGGCCGCAAGGUAGAAACUCAAAGGAAUUGACGUGG
Molecule: ribosomal RNA, 397 nt
Filed under: uncultured bacterium
Lineage: Bacteria
Description: partial 16S ribosomal RNA
Rfam family: Bacterial small subunit ribosomal RNA
Source: RNAcentral